RNAcentral lists this ribosomal RNA (107 nucleotides) under Pogona vitticeps (central bearded dragon). The record is from RNAcentral. Lineage: Eukaryota; Metazoa; Chordata; Lepidosauria; Squamata; Agamidae.
UCAAUGCCACCCUGAACGCAUCAGGCCCAGCUGAUUUCAGAAGCAAAGCAGGUUGAGGCCUGCUUAGAACUUGGACGGAAGACCACCAGAGGAUCUCCUGAUCAGAC